This is a long non-coding RNA of Herpailurus yagouaroundi (jaguarundi), 672 nucleotides long. RefSeq lists it as uncharacterized. NCBI's taxonomy places the organism in Eukaryota, Metazoa, Chordata, Mammalia, Carnivora, Felidae. The record is from RefSeq and is a predicted model, not a curated record. The transcript is spliced from 3 exons.
CACCUCUCUUCCAGCUUUCUAUGUCACGUGAGGUCUUCAGAAAAAGGGAAAGAGCAAACAGCAUCCAGGGCUGAUAGCCUGACACUGACGGACUUCUAGCAGCAGAGUGAGCACCUAGCAAGUCCCAACAGCCACGGGAAGAGGAAGGAGCCCGAGCUCUCGUGGUGACCCAGGGGGCGAACGCAGACAGUGGGGCCAGUAUUCGUUACCUCUUCGUUGCCCUUCCUGCCGGCAGGGUCUACGGCAAAUGCUCAGUAGUGCUGAAUUGUAGGAGGCUCGCACUAUGCCUGCGAGGGAGGGGCUGGUUUCAUCCUACUUUGCAGGAAAGAAAGAGGCCCUGGAGGUGAAGUGACCUCUCCAUGGACAAACUGGACCUCUCCAGCUGGUAAAGCUGGCACUUACGUCCAUUGCCCACGUCUGGUGGACACAAGGGUGUGCUGUUGUGAGUGGUGUCACAUCUGUAACUUGGGACCGCCUCUGAUUUGGUGGGAGUAUUUACACCAAGGAAAUCGGCAAACGUUACAGAUGAGGUUUUGUCUCUUCAGCACGCUGUGGAUGAGUCACCAUCCUCCAGAGAUAGAGCCCGAAAGAAACCUCCACCUGCCUCCAAGGUCCACCCGCAAACCUUCGCCAGCCUUCUCUUCUGGAACCUCCUGAUGAGCUUGGCACACC